GACGAACGCUGGCGGCGUGCUUAACACAUGCAAGUCGAACGGAAAGGCCCUGCUUUUGUGGGGUGCUCGAGUGGCGAACGGGUGAGUAACACGUGAGUAACCUGCCCUUGACUUUGGGAUAACUUCAGGAAACUGGGGCUAAUACCGGAUAGGAGCUCCUGCUGCAUGGGGGGGGUUGGAAAGUUUCGGCGGUUGGGGAUGGACUCGCGGCUUAUCAGCUUGUUGGUGGGGUAGUGGCUUACCAAGGCUUUGACGGGUAGCCGGCCUGAGAGGGUGACCGGCCACAUUGGGACUGAUAUACGGCCCAGACUCCUACGGGAGGCAGCAGUGGGGAAUAUUGCACAAUGGGCGGAAGCCUGAUGCAGCAACGCCGCGUGCGGGAUGACGGCCUUCGGGUUGUAAACCGCUUUCGCCUGUGACGAAGCGUGAGUGACGGUAAUGGGUAAAGAAGCACCGGCUAACUACGUG
This 468-nucleotide ribosomal RNA is filed under the name uncultured bacterium. RNAcentral's name for it is "partial 16S ribosomal RNA". It matches the Rfam family "Bacterial small subunit ribosomal RNA", at positions 28 to 507 of the family's 1533-position model. The record is from RNAcentral.